AUGGAUUUUCGAGACGUGCAUAGUUCCAACUUGGCCAUGUUGGCCAAACAGUGUUGGGGAUUGACCAAGAACAGCGAGUCAUUAUGCGCAAGAGUGUUGAGAUCUAGAUAUUAUCCCACUGGUGAUAUUCUUAAUUGUGAGUUGAACAAGGGCUCCUCGUAUGUAUGGAGAAGUAUACGGGCAAGUAUACAAACAUUCAAGAAAGAUUGCAUAUGGAGAGUAGGGUACGGUGCAAAUAUAAACACAUGGUCUGAUUGUUGGAUCCCCAAUAGCUUCUCAAGGAAAGUGGUGACUGUACGAGGUAACCAACUGCUUACAAAAGUAAUUGAUCUUAUAGACCCAAUAACAGGAGAGUGGGAUGGCAUAUAG
This 369-nucleotide ribosomal RNA is filed under the name Triticum aestivum (bread wheat). RNAcentral describes it as "partial small subunit ribosomal RNA". Lineage: Eukaryota; Viridiplantae; Streptophyta; Magnoliopsida; Poales; Poaceae. The record is from RNAcentral.